CGCAGGCUUGGCUGUCUCUCCUUAGUAGGGCAGAAGAGAAAGGGGGGAACUGGGGCCCUUUAUAGACCAGGCUUGUUUUGAAAUUUAAACCUAACUUCUUACUCAUGUUGCAAGGCUUGGACUGCGUACCUUUCCUUUGGUGAUCUUCAAGAAAGCUGUGCUGUGAACUGGCGAAGUUGGUUGUCAACAUUUAGAAUUGGAACAGUUUCCCA
Long non-coding RNA from Lontra canadensis (Northern American river otter), 212 nucleotides. RefSeq lists it as uncharacterized. The transcript is spliced from 3 exons. NCBI's taxonomy places the organism in Eukaryota, Metazoa, Chordata, Mammalia, Carnivora, Mustelidae. The record is from RefSeq and is a predicted model, not a curated record.